This 72-nucleotide transfer RNA is filed under the name Mayetiola destructor (Hessian fly). Its description in RNAcentral is "tRNA-Trp for anticodon CCA". It matches the Rfam family "tRNA". From Rfam's summary of the family: Transfer RNA (tRNA) molecules are approximately 80 nucleotides in length. Their secondary structure includes four short double-helical elements and three loops (D, anti-codon, and T loops). The record is from RNAcentral. Lineage: Eukaryota; Metazoa; Arthropoda; Insecta; Diptera; Cecidomyiidae.
GGCCCUAUGGCGCAACGGUAGCGCGUCUGACUCCAGAUCAGAAGGUUGUGUGUUCAAAUCACACUGGGGUCA